This 328-nucleotide unclassified non-coding RNA is filed under the name soil metagenome. RNAcentral's name for it is "partial contains 5.8S ribosomal RNA, internal transcribed spacer 2, and large subunit ribosomal RNA". The stretch from base 1 to 119 matches the Rfam family "5.8S ribosomal RNA", at positions 35 to 154 of the family's 154-position model. The record is from RNAcentral.
GAUGAAGAACGUAGUGAAAUGCGAUAGUAAUGUGAAUUGCAGAAUUCAGUGAAUCAUCGAAUCUUUGAACGCACAUUGCGCCCCUUGGUAUUCCGAGGGGCAUGCCUGUUCGAGCGUCAUUAUAACCCCUCAAGCUCAGCUUGGUGUUGGGGCCUGCUGCACUGGCAGCCCUUAAAAUCAGUGGCGGCGCCAUCUGGCUCUAAGCGUAGUAAUUCUUCUCGCUAUGGAGUCCUGGUGGAUGCUUGCCAUCAACCCCCAAUUUUUCUAUGGUUGACCUCGGAUCAGGUAGGGAUACCCGCUGAACUUAAGCAUAUCAAUAAGCGGAGGA